GAUAGACAUUAAGCAAUAAGCGAAAGCUCGACUUAGUUAGGGUUAAAAGGGCCGGUAAAACUCGUGCCAGCCACCGCGGUUAUACGAGGGGCCCAAAUUGAUGCAACACGGCGUAGAGUGUGAUUAGAGACAAAGACAAACUAAAGCCAAACACCCCCUAUACUGUCAUACGCCAUGGGGAGUAAGAAGCCCAGCAACGAAAGUGGCUUUAAAUAUCUUGAACUCACGACAGCUAAGGUACAAACUGGGAUUAGAUACCCCACUAUGCUUAGCCUUAAACCAAGGCGACAGGCCUACAAGCUUCGCCCGCCAGGGGACUACGAGCAAUAGCUUAAAACCCAAAGGACUUGGCGGUGCCUCAAACCCGCCUAGAGGAGCCUGUCCUAUAACCGAUAAUCCCCGUUAAACCUCACCCCUCCUUGUCAAUUCCGCCUAUAUACCGCCGUCGCCAGUUUACCUUAUGAAGGAACAACAGUAAGCAAAACGGGUAAUACCCCACACGUCAGGUCGAGGUGUAGCGAAUGGAGGGGGAAGAGAUGGGCUACAUUUUCUGGUGCAGAACACCACGAAAAGUGCAAUGAAAAAUGCACAAAUGAAGGUGGAUUUAGCAGUAAAAGAGAAAAAGAGAGUCUCUUUGAAACCGGCUCUGAGGCGCGUACACACCGCCCGUCACUCUCCUCGAAUAAAAACCAACAGUACAUAAAACCUUGAAAAAAAGAGAGGAGGCAA
Molecule: ribosomal RNA, 729 nt
Filed under: Gymnothorax bacalladoi
Lineage: Eukaryota; Metazoa; Chordata; Actinopteri; Anguilliformes; Muraenidae
Description: partial 12S ribosomal RNA
Rfam family: Bacterial small subunit ribosomal RNA
Source: RNAcentral